Small nuclear RNA from Vulpes vulpes (red fox), 108 nucleotides. The record is from Ensembl. NCBI's taxonomy places the organism in Eukaryota, Metazoa, Chordata, Mammalia, Carnivora, Canidae.
GUACCUGUUUCAGCAGUUCACAUGCUAAGCUUGGAACAAUAUAAAGAAAGAGUCUCAUGGUUCCUUCCCAAGGAUGACACACAACUUCACGAAGCGCUCUGUAUUCUU